This 105-nucleotide transfer RNA is filed under the name Poseidonibacter ostreae. RNAcentral describes it as "Poseidonibacter sp. JOD-M-6 tRNA-Ser". Lineage: Bacteria; Pseudomonadati; Campylobacterota; Epsilonproteobacteria; Campylobacterales; Arcobacteraceae. The record is from RNAcentral.
AUGCCUUUAAAUAGGCUAUUUUGUACUAAAAAGAAAUCUUAAGAAUUAAGGAUAUCCGGAUUUCGGCCCCGGCGGUUGGGGGUUCGAAUCCCUCCAGGCGUACCA